UGAUGUGUUUAGAGAAUGAACAGACUUUUUAAAUGUUUGCUUAUUUAUUUAUUUAUUUAUUUAUUUAUUUAUUAGAAAGCCUGAUGUGGGGCUCUAUCUCACGACCCUUGAAAUCAUGACCUGAGUCGAAAUCAAGAGUCAGACACUUAACCAACUGAGCCACCAAGGUGCCCCAAGAACAGACUUUUGAUUGGAGAAAACCAGGCAGGAGAUCAUGAACAUAGAAAACAGCAUCAGCAAAGAAAGAGCUGGAGAUAUGAAAGACUCUAUGGCAAGUGAUUCAUAUAGGCACAGCUUGCAGGCAUACCAUCUCAUGAUAGCACCGGACGCUUUUUACCUUCUGACCUGAGGUUUCCAUGUUCCUGCUGAGAUGUCAGAGAUGACUCAGUGCCCACCCAAACUGGAAGUGCAGAACAAUUAAAACUCUGUGAGUAUAAUUUUGACCAAUGGAAGUUAAUGGAGGGUGACAAAGGCUAACAUCAACUAACGCAACGAACAAUUAUUGUUUUUCAUCCAGUUUCCAUAUGGAAGUUGGUUCAUAGGCCCAAAACCAACUGAUUGAAAUCAGAGCUGGAGCCCUUUAAGACAAGACCCUAUGAUGCUAUCAAAAAUAUGUAGUAAAUAUUUGUCUCAUAAUUUCACAAAAGCCCUUUUAACUUCCAAGGAAACUGUUCUCUGAGAAUAUUCAGAUUUUUAAGACUCUAGGGUAUAGAGUUUGCAUGAUAUUUGUGCUCACCCAAUCUGGAAGUGUCCUCAUGUUCCUCUGGUUAGAUUGGGAACUUAUAGAAACCAAGCAAAAAUGGAAUUUUCUCCAUUAAUCCAUUUCCUAUUGUGUCUAAUGAGUCUGAAGACCUAGCUGUGUUAUAUCCCUGGAUUCUGAGUGCAUAGGAAGAGUGGUAAAUUUAAUAGCCAACAGUCUUCAUAUUAGUUCUCUGUCCUGCAGAGUGAGGGUCAUUAUUAAAAUGCUAUAUAUCUAUGUUGAUUCUCAAUAUUGAACAGAUGACUUAGCUAGUGACACAGGAGACUGGAUAGGGAAAUAAUGGGAUAUUAUAAAUAAAGAAUUCUAGGCAAGUGGUAUAUACA
RNAcentral lists this long non-coding RNA (1083 nucleotides) under Felis catus (domestic cat). Its description in RNAcentral is "lncRNA (ENSFCAG00000053562.1)". The record is from RNAcentral. Lineage: Eukaryota; Metazoa; Chordata; Mammalia; Carnivora; Felidae.